RNAcentral lists this long non-coding RNA (1564 nucleotides) under Salmo salar (Atlantic salmon). RNAcentral describes it as "lncRNA (ENSSSAG00000095020.1)". The record is from RNAcentral. Lineage: Eukaryota; Metazoa; Chordata; Actinopteri; Salmoniformes; Salmonidae.
GUAAAUUCAAUGUAGAUACUGUAGAUUACUCUGUCAAAUUGUACAGAAUCUUACCUGUGGUCAAUUGUGACAUGUAUCGUUUUCAUAGAGUGAGGAGGAGAUGGGAAACUGGACCCCCUAUGCAAGGAGGCCGUCAGUGCUGUGCAGAAUGCAUACUGAGAUACACCCACACUCUACCAGGAGAUUGGUCAAGGGGAUGAAUCUAAUCUAGUAGUAAACCUGAAGAGAAACACAGCAACAGACACUUUUUGUAUUUUUUUGAUGACAAGCAUUAUAGUACCAUACAAUAGUAUUCUCCAGCAUUAAGUCAAGUGUUGUUGUAUUUAUUGCUACAUAAUCUCGGAGACCCAGAAUCAAAUGUGCCGUGUAUGCUGGUCAUCUCAACAGUCUGUCGUGAGAGACUGCAACAUGCUAAUUGCGAAAUGUAGUCAUUAUAGUUUCUUAUGAUUUUUAUUUAGUGGUGAUUGACUGUGCUAUAGUUACUCUAUCAUUGUCAAUAUUGCCUCAGACAAUUUUGUGUCUGGUCCCUGUCUGAAAACAUACAUUACAAAAUCCAAAUAAUUCCCUUAACCUUUGGCAUACAACCAUUCUUAGAUCUGCUUCCUGUGGUCUCUCUCCUCAUCUGAAUAUGAUUACUUCUGCAAUCCAUUCUCAAUUAGCCUUAUGGGAGGGAUUGUGCACUAAUAGAAUCAUACCCCAUCGGUCAAACCACAGACCAAAUUAGCAGACCAAAUUUGCACUGCAAGCAAAAUCCAAACAGUCAUGCAAACACUGCCACACAGUCACAGUCUGGCCGCGUCCCAAAUGGCACCCUAUUCUCUAUGCGGUGCACUACUUUUGACCAGAGCCCUGGUCAAAAGUAGUGCACUCUUAAGGGAAUAGGGUGCCAUUUGGGACGCUACGUCUGAGGCUAGGCUCAAUGUCAGCUUCAAAGUUAACCAAAAACAUAUGGAGGUGCUUAUAGGGGUUCAUGGCACUUACCACAUUUCAUUUCAAUGCAAUCAAGCCCCCCCCACACACACACACACACAUAUAAAUACAGUACGCCUCCUACGUGAUUGUCCUCGAAACGUUAUUAAUGCUUUAUUACUAAAACAGCCAGCUUGGAGGACUUUCUUUUUGGAAGAAUAUCAGACAACCAAAAGAGAACCUUGUCCCCCAUCUUCUGAAAGAGCCGAGAUGAUUACCUCCGUUUCUUCCUGUGCGGCAUCAGUGUAUACAUCCCAAAUGUCACCCUAUUCCAUAUAUGGUGCACUACUUUUUACCAGAACAAGUAGAAGUAGUGCACUAUAUAGGGAAUAGGGUCCCAUUCGGGACGCAAUGUCUAGCACUGAAACAUAUUUAAGGGGGAGUAAACAAAAAGAAACAAACUGAAAUAUACUCUCUGUUUCUCUCCUCGCGCCUCCACCCUCCUAAACUAUUGCCUAAAGCUCCUGUUUUUAACAGCUCUUUAACAGUUUGCUAGAUUUUCAACCUGGCUAGGUGGAUAGCACAGUUAAUGUACCUGACAGCGAAGCUAUGGAAUUCAGAGAAAACAUCUGGGUGUCAAAUAAAAGCAAUUGUC